GGAAACCGGAGCUAAUACCGGAUACGUUCUUUUCUCGCAUGAGAGAAGAUGGAAAGACGGUUUCGGCUGUCACUUAUAGAUGGGCCCGCGGCGCAUUAGCUAGUUGGUGAGGUAAUGGCUCACCAAGGCGACGAUGCGUAGCCGACCUGAGAGGGUGAUCGGCCACACUGGGACUGAGACACGGCCCAGACUCCUACGGGAGGCAGCAGUAGGGAAUCUUCCGCAAUGGACGAAAGUCUGACGGAGCAACGCCGCGUGAACGAAGAAGGCCUUCGGGUCGUAAAGUUCUGUUGUUAGGGAAGAACAAGUACCAGAGUAA
Molecule: ribosomal RNA, 319 nt
Filed under: Priestia megaterium
Lineage: Bacteria; Bacillati; Bacillota; Bacilli; Caryophanales; Bacillaceae
Description: bacterial SSU rRNA
Rfam family: Bacterial small subunit ribosomal RNA
Source: RNAcentral